This is a long non-coding RNA of Dermacentor andersoni, 1558 nucleotides long. RefSeq lists it as uncharacterized. NCBI's taxonomy places the organism in Eukaryota, Metazoa, Arthropoda, Arachnida, Ixodida, Ixodidae. The record is from RefSeq and is a predicted model, not a curated record.
GCUUAUUUCCUCUGCCUGCACCUUAUAUUUGUUGUGUUUGUCGAGACCUGGCCUGUCUCUGCCUCGUUGAAGACAAAUGGACACAAGUACUGGUUGCUGUUGGUUUGUUUGGUUUGCUCAGUCUGAGCGUGCUGCAGAGCACUUGACCACUGCAGCAGUCAAGCAUGCUGUAUAUUGGGCAGUGCCAGGAAUUGCGAGAUCGAGACAGGCUGCCACUAGAAGUUCCUUGGGCCAGGAAUUUAUUCUGUUCCAGAUAAGGGAGGCAGCUUUUGCAUCUGCAACAGAACAUUGGUGGAUGUUGUGUGAAGCACUUUCUCCAUGCUUUUUCACUACCUGAGCAAGGUAACUUUCUUGGUGCUUCAUCACGCAAUUUAUACAAUCAACUGCCAUUAAUUCUACCCUCACGAGACUGACGGGUCGAACUAAGAUGCAAAAACCUGCUGAAGCACCGUUGAUUCAUUUGGCAAUAUGUGCUUGAGUAACACGCCUCUGAAACGAAUGUGCAUCAAAUUUCUAUUUGUCCACAGUACAAAACUAAAGUAGAAAUGACUUAACUCCAAACCAAAGUAGAAACCUACGCGUACCUCAUUUUUUAGAAUGCCAGCUGAUUUUCCAAAGCCAGCUUCGCCGUAUUACAGCCAUGAUAUGUGGUAAAGCAUAUGAAUGGUGCAACCACGGUUUUAGUUUCGCAAUCGAUUGCACAGCUAGGCAAUUUUCGUCUCAAUGUCCUUCGAAAACAAAAAGUGUUCGUUAGAAUCAGAUAAGUACCACAAUCGGACAUUGUCAGCUACCGUUACUGCUUGAAAAUCUUUGUCGGGUGGGUCAAAAAUAGGCAUUUCAGAGAGAUGGCAUUUGUUUAACGCAUUCACUGUCCCCUAAGCACUACUGAGACAUGGGCUGCCACUAAAAGGGGUCAUUAUUGGGGUCUGGUCAAGUUCGCAUUAUCCGGCGAAUGCCAGUUUUAGGAUCGAAAUGAUGAAUGUUUAAUUCCAUAGAAAUGCAUGGGCGUCGGCCAGGUUCGAAUUAACUGAAAAAAUUAAAUUAACCGGAGUCAGAUUAUUGGAAGUUUACUAUACACCCUUUUCUGUUCUCCAAGAAGUUGCCAUUUUAAUAUGUAGUUUUCUUCUGUCAGUGUGGCAAUGGUGCUAAAUUUAGCAUUUGUUUGAAUCAUCUAUUGUUCCAAGGACAAGCUACAAAGUAGGGGCACACUUUGAGACUUGAAACAUUUCCACAUAUAAAGGCAGGGCAUGUUAACAUCUGUACAAUUAACAUAAGUUGGCUGUAUUGUCUGCAUAGUAUGUGGUUGCUUUUUUGGAAUGUGGUCUUUCUGUAAAACAAAGUUGCAUUUGUUUCAAAUAAAUUGCUGAACCAUUGCUUGUGUGUUUUCCUGUGCUCUCUGUGCUGAUUGCGCUUUUGAAAGUGCAGUGAGCAACUGCAGACUGAAAUGCACAAGGCUUCACUUUAUCAUGCCAGGAAGCAUUUUGGCUUGACAAAGGAGCCUUAAUUAACCCCUUCCAUGCACACACUUUUUUUGUAUAAACACAUCAAAUGAAAGACA